GACGAACGCUGGCGGCGUGCUUAACACAUGCAAGUCGAGCGGUAAGGCCCUUUCGGGGGUACACGAGCGGCGAACGGGUGAGUAACACGUGGGUGACCUGCCCUCAGCUCUGGGAUAAGCCUGGGAAACCGGGUCUAAUACUGGAUAUGACUCCAUGACGCAUGUUGUGGGGUGGAAAGCCUUGUGCGGCUGAGGAUGGGCCCGCGGCCUAUCAGCUUGUUGGUGGGGUGAUGGCCUACCAAGGCGACGACGGGUAGCCGGCCUGAGAGGGCGACCGGCCACACUGGGACUGAGACACGGCCCAGACUCCUACGGGAGGCAGCAGUAAGGAAUAUUGCGCAAUGGGCGAAAGCCUGACGCAGCGACGCCGCGUGGGGAUGAAGGU
RNAcentral lists this ribosomal RNA (385 nucleotides) under uncultured bacterium. RNAcentral's name for it is "bacterial SSU rRNA". It matches the Rfam family "Bacterial small subunit ribosomal RNA", at positions 28 to 415 of the family's 1533-position model. The record is from RNAcentral.